ACCCAACUGACGAGUCCCAAAUAAGACGAGACAAACGUCCUGGAU
Non-coding RNA from Schistosoma mansoni, 45 nucleotides. Lineage: Eukaryota; Metazoa; Platyhelminthes; Trematoda; Strigeidida; Schistosomatidae. The record is from Rfam.